RNAcentral lists this ribosomal RNA (367 nucleotides) under uncultured bacterium. Its description in RNAcentral is "partial 16S ribosomal RNA". It matches the Rfam family "Bacterial small subunit ribosomal RNA", at positions 338 to 702 of the family's 1533-position model. The record is from RNAcentral.
CCUACGGGAGGCAGCAGUGAGGAAUAUUGGUCAAUGGCCGGAAGGCUGAACCAGCCAUGCCGCGUGAAGGGCAGGGCCCUAGGGGCGUUAAACUUCUUUUGUGCGGGAGCAAGAAUGGGCACGUGUGGCCAGACGAGAGUACCGUACGAAUAAGCAGCGGCUAACUCCGGGCCAGCAGCCGCGGUAAGACGGGGGAUGCAAGCGUUAUCCGGAUUUCUGGGGUUUAAAGGGUGCGUAGGCUGUGAGGUAAGUCAGCGGUGAAAUGCCCCCGCUCAACGGGGUGAAGUGCCAUUGAUACUGCCUUGCUGGAUUGCGGAUGCCGUGGGAGGCAUGUGUGUUGUAGCGGUGACAUGCAUCGAUCUCACAC